This 497-nucleotide ribosomal RNA is filed under the name uncultured bacterium. Its description in RNAcentral is "partial 16S ribosomal RNA". It matches the Rfam family "Bacterial small subunit ribosomal RNA", at positions 28 to 507 of the family's 1533-position model. The record is from RNAcentral.
GAUGAACGCUGGCGGCGUGCCUAAUACAUGCAAGUCGAGCGAACGGACGAGAAGCUUGCUUCUCUGAUGUUAGCGGCGGACGGGUGAGUAACACGUGGAUAACCUACCUAUAAGACUGGGAUAACUUCGGGAAACCGGAGCUAAUACCGGAUAAUAUUUUGAACCGCAUGGUUCAAAAGUGAAAGACGGUCUUGCUGUCACUUAUAGAUGGAUCCGCGCUGCAUUAGCUAGUUGGUAAGGUAACGGCUUACCAAGGCAACGAUGCAUAGCCGACCUGAGAGGGUGAUCGGCCACACUGGAACUGAGACACGGUCCAGACUCCUACGGGAGGCAGCAGUAGGGAAUCCUCCGCAAUGGGCGAAAGCCUGACGCAGCAACGCCGCGUGAGUGAUGAAGGUCUUCGGAUCGUAAAACUCUGUUAUUAGGGAAGAACAUAUGUGUAAGUAACUGUGCACAUCUUGACGGUACCUAAUCAGAAAGCCACGGCUAACUACGUG